GUGGGGAAUUUUGGACAAUGGGCGCAAGCCUGAUCCAGCAAUGCCGCGUGCAGGAAGAAGGCCUUCGGGUUGUAAACUGCUUUUGUACGGAACGAAACGGUCCUGGUUAAUACCUGGGGCUAAUGACGGUACCGUAAGAAUAAGCACCGGCUAACUACGUGCCAGCAGCCGCGGUAAUACGUAGGGUGCGAGCGUUAAUCGGCAUUACUGGGCGUAAAGCGUGCGCAGGCGGUGCUGUAAGACAGGCGUGAAAUCCCCGGGCUCGACCUGGGAAUUGCGCUUGUGACUGCAGUGCUGGAGUACGGCAGAGGAGGAUGGAAUUCCGCGAGUAGCAGUGAAAUGCGUAGAUAUGCGGAGGAACACCGAUGGCGAAGGCAGUCCCCUGGGCCUGUACUGACGCUCAUGCACGAAAGCGUGGGGAGCAAACAGGAUUAGAUACCCGGGUAGUCC
RNAcentral lists this ribosomal RNA (450 nucleotides) under uncultured bacterium. Its description in RNAcentral is "partial 16S ribosomal RNA". It matches the Rfam family "Bacterial small subunit ribosomal RNA", at positions 354 to 796 of the family's 1533-position model. The record is from RNAcentral.